Molecule: long non-coding RNA, 1381 nt
Filed under: Phasianus colchicus (ring-necked pheasant)
Lineage: Eukaryota; Metazoa; Chordata; Aves; Galliformes; Phasianidae
Description: lncRNA (ENSPCLG00000012946.1)
Source: RNAcentral
CUAACUUGCUUUUGAUUGCUUCAGUUAGACCCUUGUUCAGGAAUUUAUCAAGUAAUAGGAAAUGAUAUCCUGAAUCCAGAUGCUAGUGAUCAAUUCCUGCCCCACUCUGGUUAGCAAAGCACUUCUGUCAUUUUUUUAAUGAUCUCUGUCACCUUCCACAGCGAUUUCCCAUGCCGGGAAGGCUAGCACAGCCUCACGCUGAGUCACCUGAAAGCACCUUCUUUAUGCCAUUCCUUUUUCAUAUUGGAGCUUGUAACUCUUGUUGAGCGGCUAGUAAUCAGACUGCAGAGAAGCAGAUGUGGGUCGUUAGGCUGCACCCACAGUAUGAGGGGCUACGGCCCUCCCAGGCCCAGGGCAGCCAUCGCCCACCAGAAGCACCUGUGGCUGCUCAGCUGGCUCUGCGCUCUCCAUCCACCAUGGUGGCACCUCAGACAGACCAGCUGUGGUGAAGCAGAGAGCCAGGGCAGGCCUCAGCCAGCAGGGCCUUCCGCUCAGCCAUGCUGCGCCUCCAGCAAAGAAGGCAGCGAGCGGCAGCUCUGCUGCUGCCCCAGCGUGACCACAAACCCUGCGCACACCUCCUCCUCGUCCUGCCCUCCUGCUGGCAGCGGCCCAGCAGGAGAGGGCACACCCAGUGAGAAGCAGAAAGUUCAUCCUGGCUCCAGCCAAGCUCACGGUCUUCAUGGGGUUACUGUCAACACUAGCUGGUGGAGCUCGUUUGAGCAGGGAAAAACGACGAGCAAAACUUAGAGAAGGGGCAGAGCCAAAUCUGUCAGCUCUGUCCAGAGCAGAGCUCUGGUAAAACUGCUGUUUCUUUAGCUCCUUCAUCCCCUUAUUCCUAGCAGAAAGGCACAAAGAAAACAGACUGUGAAGGCAAACCUGAUCUAGUAUCAUUCUGGCACUGCAUUUCAGCUGUCAGGUGCUAGUGGAAGGACAGAAAUCAUUGAAAUUAAUGUGUAUGUGACUGUGAAUUCUUUCUUUGUGUACAUGGGAGGAACACCCCGUAUCUCCACCCGAUCCUGAAGCUAACCUCCUUCUGCUCUGAGAUUUCCAUGUAAGUUUAUAUGGCUGCUCUUCCUAAUUGCUGAAAGGCUUUUAUUUAGCACCCUCGCUGUGUCAAAUUCUUUCUGUCUCCUCCCUUCCAAGUGCACUAUAUGCUUUCAAGGCUGCAGAGCACUCCCUGCCCCAAGAAACACCACAGCUUGCCCUUCAGGUGAUCCCUUUGGGUUAUUCCACCCCAGCCCCUGGCAGAGACUAAUAUUUCAGAAUGUUGCUAAACCAACACCAUUUUUCUGCAGGCUCCCCUCAUCAAUCCAGCAGGCUUGGAGGAACAGUUGCUCCAUCUCUGGAUCAAGAUAACUUCUGACAUCAUGUAAUGUUUUAU